This 280-nucleotide small nuclear RNA is filed under the name Castor canadensis (American beaver). RNAcentral describes it as "7SK RNA (ENSCCNG00000007638.1)". It matches the Rfam family "7SK RNA", at positions 48 to 331 of the family's 331-position model. Rfam says of the family: 7SK was discovered as an abundant small nuclear RNA in the mid-70s but a possible function has only recently been suggested. Two independent studies have found that 7SK RNA binds the CDK9/cyclin T complex (known as elongation factor P-TEFb). The record is from RNAcentral. Lineage: Eukaryota; Metazoa; Chordata; Mammalia; Rodentia; Castoridae.
GAAGGUGGGUGGAGAUUCGGCUGAUGUGGCUGGCUAGGUGGGUGUCCCCUUCCUCCCUUCCUCCCUCACUGCUCCAUGUGCAUCCCUCCUAAAGCUGUGCACUCGGUGGAAGAGGACAACCAUCCCCGAAGGAGGAGGACCGUUCUUUGGCCAAGGGUAUAUUGUGCUCCCCUGCUAGAACCUCCAAGCAAGCUCUCAAGAAGGUGGGUGGACAUGUCGAGGAAGGAUGGGAAAAAAAAUGAGGCAGGCUGAACUGGGGAUUUAAAAAACUCUGUAAGGU